AGAGUUUGAUCCUGGCUCAGGACGAACGCUGGCGGCGUGCUUAACACAUGCAAGUCGAACGGAAAGGCCCCUUCGGGGGUACUCGAGUGGCGAACGGGUGAGUAACACGUGGGCAACCUGCCCUCAGCUCUGGGAUAACUCCGGGAAACCGGGGCUAAUACUGGAUAUUCACUGCUCAUCGCAUGGUGGGUGGUGGAAAGUUUUUCGGCUGGGGAUGGGCCCGCGGCCUAUCAGCUUGUUGGUGGGGUGAUGGCCUACCAAGGCGACGACGGGUAGCCGGCCUGAGAGGGCGACCGGCCACACUGGGACUGAGACACGGCCCAGACUCCUACGGGAGGCAGCAGUGGGGAAUAUUGCACAAUGGGCGGAAGCCUGACGCAGCGACGCCGCGUGAGGGAUGACGGCCUUCGGGUUGUAAACCUCUUUCAGCUCUGACGAAGCGAGAGUGACGGUAGGAGCAGAAGAAGCACCGGCCAACUACGUGCCAGCAGCCGCGGUA
Molecule: ribosomal RNA, 499 nt
Filed under: uncultured Actinomycetes bacterium
Lineage: Bacteria; Bacillati; Actinomycetota; Actinomycetes
Description: bacterial SSU rRNA
Rfam family: Bacterial small subunit ribosomal RNA
Source: RNAcentral